UGAGACAGGUGCUGCAUGGCUGUCGUCAGCUCGUGUUGUGAAAUGUUGGGUUAAGUCCCGCAACGAGCGCAACCCUUAUCCUUUGUUGCCAGCGAUUCGGUCGGGAACUCAAAGGAGACUGCCGGUGAUAAACCGGAGGAAGGUGGGGAUGACGUCAAGUCAUCAUGGCCCUUACGAGUAGGGCUACACACGUGCUACAAUGGCGCAUACAAAGAGAAGCGACCUCGCGAGAGCAAGCGGACCUCACAAAGUGCGUCGUAGUCCGGAUCGGAGUCUGCAACUCGACUCCGUGAAGUCGGAAUCGCUAGUAAUCGUGGAUCAGAAUGCCACGGUGAAUACGUUCCCGGGCCUUGUACACACCGCCCGUCACACCAUGGGAGUGGGUUGCAAAAGAAGUAGGUAGCUUAACCUUCGGGAGGGCGCUUACCACUUUGUGAUUCAUGACUGGGGUGAAGUCGUAACAAGGUAACCGUAGGGGAACCUGCGGUUGGAUCACCUCCUUACCUGAA
This 509-nucleotide ribosomal RNA is filed under the name Pantoea agglomerans. RNAcentral describes it as "bacterial SSU rRNA". It matches the Rfam family "Bacterial small subunit ribosomal RNA", at positions 1030 to 1533 of the family's 1533-position model. Lineage: Bacteria; Pseudomonadati; Pseudomonadota; Gammaproteobacteria; Enterobacterales; Erwiniaceae. RNAcentral also lists the same sequence under 1 other name. The record is from RNAcentral.